AAUAAAUAAAGCCGAAAUGUUUAUCACUCCGCGUCGCUUGGUGACACUGGGAGUCAAGGUGAUGAUGACGUGUUGAGCCGGUAUAAAAGCAGAAGCCAACGCUCGAAUUUUGUUUUCACAUGAGAGUGCUAAGAGGAGCUUUUCUAACUAGUGCUGUGAAAACUCGCAUUUUACCAGCGACUCUGAAAGUUUUCCAAACUUGAAGAAUAGGACAACUGAAGCACCCAAAAUGGCCACCCCUGGAUUACAGCGUCAGCAAUACCUGCUGUCCCUUGGUAUCAACCGCAUACUUGACGGCCGCUAUGCUGACCUGGUGAAGCCACUUAGUGUGCGUCAAAUGGUUGUCACCAACCUGAGGAAACGUCCUUUGAGCCCCAGCCAUUUGGACUCUAUGAAAGACCUGGUCCUCUCCCUUUACCAUCACCUGGUUACGGGGUCCAAGGAUUUUCCUCACGUCGCAUUCAGGGGACACCUUGACACAGACGAGCUGGAAACAACGUUUAGACCUGUGCUGCAGAGUCGGAGGGAAAACACCACUCCAUCUCCUCUUACCGACUCACCAGAUGGAAUGGUGGUGCUGCCUCCAGGGUCCCGCCUGACAUCUCAGAUCCUGACUCCGGUCCUUCCUGACAAGGCGAAUAUUUUUGUGCUGAAGGCAGACCGGAGGAACUGUGUCCGCACCCUGGAGGUCAACGGCCUCACCGUCAACAGAGUCAUAUCUGCUGUGUAUCGCACAGAAGACUGUGACACUGAGAUGACAAACAUCUGGAGGGUCACUGACUACAGCUCAGAGGGCAACGUCAUCAUGUCAGUGCUCUGCCGCUUCCGGAGGAUGUUUGCACAGCGUGCAAAAAGAAAGGCGACAGAGGAGAAAAGCAGCAGCAGGAGCCCCGCUCCACCAAGGAAGCGCUUCAGACUCUAAUCAAGAUCGAAGCCUUUCCUGGAGAACUUAUUUUCUCCAAACUUUUGUACAUAUGUAUAUAGUUCUUUGUUAUUGUUGAGAAACACAGGUCAGUGUUUUCAGUGCCUCUUGCACUUUUCUUUAUUUCUUGUUGCUGGCCUGUGUUUUUGAUAUUACUAUGAGGAUUACAAAAUGACUUUAUUAUAUAAUCUAUGCAAAUGAACUAAGGAUCCAUGAAGACAGUGGCAAGGAUAAAUUAUUCUCUGCUGCAUCUCACACAUCAGCAAGAACCAACACAGUGAAUCUGAUGAAAAGGAGAAACAAAAAGAGACACACCACAAACGAGUUUCCCUGACUAACAUGAGAGGAGCAGUAACUGCAUAAGGAGGAAGAAACAGGAGCAUCCAAAGACAGCCUGAGAGUUUUUGGGGGCACCGUGAACAGCAGUCACCUCAGAGCAAGAGAGUCCUGGUGGCUGUCUGGGUUCUCUCCAGGAGCUCUGGCUUCAUCCCACAGUCCAGAGAAAUGAUCUGAGCUGGUGAGUCCAGUCAGUGUGUGUCAGAUAGUCGUCAACAAACUUGAGGAACCGUCCUUUAAACAGCAGCCAUUUGGACUCUAUGAACAAUCUGCUCCUCUCCCUUUACCAUGACCUGGUUACGGGGUGCAAGGAUUUUCCUCCAAUCGCAGUCAGGGGAUAGUGUCACUCAGAGGAGCUGACGACACCUUUUAGACCUGUGCUGCAGAGUCGGAGGGCAAACACCACUCCAUCUCCUUCUACAGACUCACCAGCUGGUAUGAUGGUGCUGCCUGCAGGGUCCCGCCUCACAUCUCAGAUCCUGACUCCGGUCCUUCCUGACAAGGCGAAUAUUUUUGUGCUGAAGGCAGACCGGAGGAACUGUGUCCGCACCCUGGAGGUCAACGGCCUCACCGUCAACAGAGUCAUAUCUGCUGUGUAUCGCACAGAAGACUGUGACACUGAGAUGACAAACAUCUGGAGGGUCACUGACUACAGCUCAGAGGGCAACGUCAUCAUGUCAGUGCUCUGCCGCUUCCCGAGGAAGUUUGCACAGCGUGCAAAAAGAAAGGCGACAGAGGAGAAAAGCAGCAGCAGGAGCCCCGCUCCACCAAGGAAGCGCUUCAGACUCUAAUCAAGAUCGAAGCCUUUCCUGGAGAACUUAUUUUCUCCAAACUUUUGUACAUAUGUAUAUAGUUCUUUGUUAUUGUUGAGAAACACAGGUCAGUGUUUUCAGUGCCUCUUGCACUUUUCUUUAUUUCUUGUUGCUGGCCUGUGUUUUUGAUAUUACUAUGAGGAUUACAAAAUGACUUUAUUAUAUAAUCUAUGCAAAUGAACUAAGGAUCCAUGAAGACAGUGGCAAGGAUAAAUUAUUCUCUGCUGCAUCUCACACAUCAGCAAGAACCAACACAGUGAAUCUGGUGAAAAGGAGAAACAAAAAGAGACACACCACAAACGAGUUUCCCUGACUAACAUGAGAGGAGCAGUAACUGCAUAAGGAGGAAGAAACAGAAGCAUCCAAAGACAACUGAGAGUCUUCAGUGCACCGUGAACAGCAGUCACCUCAGAGCAAGAGAGUCCUGGUGGCUGUCUGGGUUCUCUCCAGGAGCUCUGGCUUCAUCCCACAGUCCAGAGAAAUGAUCUGAGCUGGUGAGUCCAGUCAGUGUGUGUCAGAUAGUCGUCAACAAACUUGAGGAACCGUCCUUUAAACAGCAGCCAUUUGGACUCUAUGAACAAUCUGCUCCUCUCCCUUUACCAUGACCUGGUUACGGGGUGCAAGGAUUUUCCUCCAAUCGCAGUCAGGGGAUAGUUUCACUCAGAGGAGCUGACGACACCUUUUAGACCUGUGCUGCAGAGUCGGAGGGCAAACACCACUCCAUCUCCUUCUACAGACUCACCAGCUGGUAUGAUGGUGCUGCCUCCAGGGUCCCGCCUCACAUCUCAGAUCCUGACUCCGGUCCUUCCUGACAAGGCGAAUAUUUUUGUGCUGAAGGCAGACCGGAGGAACUGUGUCCGCACCCUGGAGGUCAACGGCCUCACCGUCAACAGAGUCAUAUCUGCUGUGUAUCGCACAGAAGACUGUGACACUGAGAUGACAAACAUCUGGAGGGUCACUGACUACAGCUCAGAGGGCAACGUCAUCAUGUCAGUGCUCUGCCGCUUCCCGAGGAAGUUUGCACAGCGUGCAAAAAGAAAGGCGACAGAGGAGAAAAGCAGCAGCAGGAGCCCCGCUCCACCAAGGAAGCGCUUCAGACUCUAAUCAAGAUCGAAGCCUUUCCUGGAGAACUUAUUUUCUCCAAACUUUUGUACAUAUGUAUAUAGUUCUUUGUUAUUGUUGAGAAACACAGGUCAGUGUUUUCAGUGCCUCUUGCACUUUUCUUUAUUUCUUGUUGCUGGCCUGUGUUUUUGAUAUUACUAUGAGGAUUACAAAAUGACUUUAUUAUAUAAUCUAUGCAAAUGAACUAAGGAUCCAUGAAGACAGUGGCAAGGAUAAAUUAUUCUCUGCUGCAUCUCACACAUCAGCAAGAACCAACACAGUGAAUCUGGUGAAAAGGAGAAACAAAAGAGACACACCACAAACGAGUUUCCCUGACUAACAUGAGAGGAGCAGUAACUGCAUAAGGAGGAAGAAACAGAAGCAUCCAAAGACAACUGAGAGUCUUCAGUGCACCGUGAACAGCAGUCACCUCAGAGCAACAGAGUCCUGGUGGCUGUCUGGGUUCUCUCCAGGAGCUUGGAGAUAAGAUACCAUAACUUAAAAAAAAUGUUUAGAAUAAGUGUGAGCCUCUUUUACAACUUUACUUACAUCCUUCAAAUGUAAGAGCUGCUGGCACGUCUGGUGAGGGUUUGCCCACACCUAAUCUAAACCGAGCUUUAGUCCCUCUCGUACUUUGUUGAGUAUUGGCUUCAGCUGCACCAGUGCCUGCAAUGUGAGGUCAUUAAUAGACAGGGAGGAAAUAAUAGUUGAAUUAAUUCUGAAUGAAGACGUCAUGCCAAAUAUUCUUUGAUAGCCAUUACAGUCAUGAAUACACAGACUUUAUGAUUGCUUUUUUCUUGUCAACAUGUAUUGUUCCCAAAUAACCACGGGCCACAACUGGAUCAGAUAGUUCCAUCAUUUCUCUUCAUCUGCAUUUUCGAUCUGAAAGCAGAAACAACAAUAACGAGGAGAAAUGGAAUUUUUAUAUUUAAGAACGAGGACUGUGUGGAGGAGAGCCGAGUCAGGUGACAGGUUGUUCACCUGAUCAACAAGCUGGAGUCAGAACCUGUGAUUUAUCCUCCCUGACUAUUGAGUUAUGUUUUAUGCUGAUGUUAUUUUCUUGUUUUGAGCCAAACCAGAUUUCUCUAUAGGAACUCUGUGUUAAAGGGUCAAUGCACCAAAUUAUGCUUUGAUAAGAGUUCAUUUCUCAUGCAAGGAAAGACACAAACUUCUCAGAGGGAUUAGUAGUGGGCACAAGUUAAAUGAGCUCAUAUCACUACGUUGGCUUUAUCAGCCCUGCACAGAACAGAUCGGUCUCAGACUUUUAGAUUCUCUUAAAUAAGUAGAAUCUGAAACUGAAGGUUUUAGAUUAAAUCUGAUUCCUAAAUCAAGAAGUAAAGCUUAAAGAAUAACCUAAGUUUGUAAUUUGGAACAAAGUUGUGUUAACUAAAACUAUCUUGAACUAAGGAAGGUUAAGUGUGACCUUCUUAGCUGCAAACCUAGAACUGGUCUAGUAGCUUUUAUAUCUGUCUUACUGUGACAUAAGUGCUGCAAAAGGGGUUUAUUUCUCUCUCUCUAUCUCUCAGUCCCUCUCUCCAAUUUUACCGUAUUUUCUCUAUAUAUGAUGUAGGUUUGGAUUUUCCCUGCUAAAUUGUGAUGGUCUGGCAGUCUCCAUCGGUCGAGCUGCCUGUAUCGUGCCAGUUUAUGGGCGUCAUCAGGCCGGAAGGUGUUUCCCGUGUUGAAGCCGCCACACCUGUCUUCCAUCUAGAUUGGCCACUACUUAACUGAGCUUCAGUCAACGCUGGAUCGUUGAGUUACCGAGAACUUGGAGAGGAGUGUGUCAGAGGAGCGAAGGAUUUGUAAAUGUCGAGUGUUGGAGUUGUUUGCCUGUCACACCUGGACCACGAGCACAGUCCUGCAGGAUGGGAAAGUCCUGCAUUGGGGCCUCGUUCUCACCACGCACCUUAACAUUGUCUGAGCCUGAGCCUUUUCAAGGUUCUGUUUUGCCAACUGACCCGCUACAUACAGUCUGUGCCAAAAACCAUUAACGUAAUCUAUCAAGUUCACUGGUGGUUCACCUGAUAACCACUUAUCGCACAGCACUGUCAAGGGUCCCUGAACUUUGUGGCCAAAGACCAAAUCAUUUGGGCUAAACCCAGUACUCUCCUGGCACACUUCUCACGCUGCCAACAGAAGCCACGGCAAACCUUCCUCCCAGUCACUCUUCAUUUCUGUGCAACAGGCACGUAACAAGGACUUCAGCAUUUGAUGGACGCGCUCUAAAGCACCUUGGCUCUGUGGAUGAUAAGGAGAGGCUUUGUUAUGUGUGAUGUUCAACAGCUUGAGAACUUGUGGAAAUAGAUUUGACGAAAAGUUUGAUCCCUGGUCACUCUGAAUAAUCUUCGGUAUGCCAAAUAAUAAACACUUUGAUUGAGAACCUGCA
Molecule: long non-coding RNA, 5554 nt
Organism: Oreochromis niloticus (Nile tilapia)
Lineage: Eukaryota; Metazoa; Chordata; Actinopteri; Cichliformes; Cichlidae
Exons: 12
Source: RefSeq, a predicted model, not a curated record